AUGUGGGCCCUGGCAAAAAAUUGGUGGUUACGAAAUAUUGACGAAGGAGGUAACAUAGGAGGGUUCCAGCAAAAUAGAGCACCCGUUCCAUUUGUUAAGGGACAUGUCAAACUGUGUGGAAGAGCCGCAGGAAGGUCCGUCCAGCUGGCCUGUGCCUGCAGCCAGCUGAUGGUGUCCCUUGGUGCCAUCGUGCUCCUUCGAGAAGCAAUAAAAAUGGUUUGUACCACACUUGGGAUGAAGUUCAGGAAGUGGGUCAUCAAAGAUGAUGCACGCUCUCCUCUAUUCUGCAUCUAUGCUGUGAGACAUGCUAUGAGUACUCAGUGCCCCACAAUGCACUGAUCUUCACGCAUGCACACACAGGAGGGGGAUUCGAGGUACGCUUCUGGGCAGAGAGGACGCUGCAAUUCCAGAUGCACACUAUCAUGAAGCCCAUGUUUACCACGUGCAGGGCUUUUUAAGAUUAUAGGCUGUCUUUCAAGCAAAGCAGCCUCUACCACUAAUAAUUCCAUUCUAUCAGACAAAGUAGGAAAAACACUACUGGUUAGUGUCUCGAGCAAAGAGAAAAUCAGACUAUAAACUCUCGUGCCCAUGAGAGACAGACUCCCGUGGAGAGCUAUCUGGCCAAGGAAUGCUGUUUUAAAGGAACACAACCAUCCGGGUGGCCAACUGAAAAUACAAAAUGCUAAAAUGUAUGCAGAGUGAAGCUGCCUUGGUUUAUCAUGGAGGUGCAGUCCCACGGAUGGGGGUCUGGCUGAAACUCUGAAUGUCACUAAAUUUUGUCACAUCCGGAGCAUGAUUAAUGCCCAGAGAGGCUUAAGGACUUGUAAUGAGGCUAAUAACAACUGGUUACCACUGGAAAGUGGUCCUGCUGCCAGAAAAACAAAUGAUCAGACACUUAAAGCCUCUAUCAGGAUGGAAAAAGGCAUUUUGCCAAGUUUUGUCCCCUCUUAGAAACCGCCCGGUCAGCUCUCUGAACUCUACUUGAACUUCAGCACUCCACAGUUGCUUCACUGGCUGAAAUAUAUUUCUUGUAUUUAAGCAGACCUACAAAUCUAUGGAAAGUUGAAAAAGUUUCACGUUCCCAAUUUUUUUGGGGAAAAAAAGGAAUAUUAUAAAUAGACACACAGAAAAAUACCUUAUGAAAAACAUUAAAAGUUCUAUGGGGUUGUUGAGUGACAAAUUUUUAAUGCACCUCACAUUUUCCAAAUUUUCUAAUGUGAACAUACAUUAUUUUUAUAUAACCAGGAAACUUUAUAAACUUUUUAAGAAGAAA
Molecule: long non-coding RNA, 1273 nt
Filed under: Vulpes vulpes (red fox)
Lineage: Eukaryota; Metazoa; Chordata; Mammalia; Carnivora; Canidae
Description: lncRNA (ENSVVUG00000002089.1)
Source: RNAcentral